RNAcentral lists this long non-coding RNA (66 nucleotides) under Cercocebus atys (sooty mangabey). Its description in RNAcentral is "Maternally expressed 8 exon 3 (ENSCATG00000006012.1)". It matches the Rfam family "Maternally expressed 8 exon 3". Lineage: Eukaryota; Metazoa; Chordata; Mammalia; Primates; Cercopithecidae. The record is from RNAcentral. RNAcentral also lists the same sequence under 2 other names.
UUGGCUUGGUCAAAUCAGUGUUCAAACUAUCUCCUGCCCUUUCAAGAGGAUCUAGGGCUCUAGAAG